Molecule: long non-coding RNA, 118 nt
Organism: Bufo bufo (common toad)
Lineage: Eukaryota; Metazoa; Chordata; Amphibia; Anura; Bufonidae
Exons: 3
Source: RefSeq, a predicted model, not a curated record
UGUCCUUUUGGCAUGCGCAGAUGGUGAAACCUAAGGCACGCCCCCAUACGUCAUCUCCGAUGCGACAGGAAGUCAGGAGGUAGGGAAAUCUCACGAGACAACAUUGUGCGGGCCGCCG